Molecule: RNA transcript, 4869 nt
Organism: Panthera uncia (snow leopard)
Lineage: Eukaryota; Metazoa; Chordata; Mammalia; Carnivora; Felidae
Gene: SNX25
Gene name: sorting nexin 25
Exons: 23
Source: RefSeq, a predicted model, not a curated record
AGAGGCCACCGUCCGGGGCAGCGCCGGGGGACAGCAGGGCAGGAGAUGUGCCUGUCCUUAGCGGUACAGGAAGCAGCAUGCACCCCGAUGCCACCGACAGCAGCGGCGCCGGCCUCAGCCUCGUGCCGGCAGCGGCCACCGUUGGCCGCCCAGCCCCGGGCGCCCCGGGCGAGCGGCGGCCGGACGCCCGGGAAGACGCGGCGGCGCCGGGGAGCCCUGGCGGCUGGAGCUGGCGAGUGUCCGUGGCGGUGGCCGCACUCGCCGCCGUGUGCCUCUCCUGCCUGGGGCCCGGUUGCUGGCAGGCGGCCGGAGGCGCGGGGCCGUGCACCGUCCUGCUCCGGCUCAGCCUGUACCUGGGCUGCGCCGCGGCCGCCUUCCUCUUGGGAACCCUGUUCUCCCUCGUCUGCCGGAGCCGGCGAGCCCCGCCGCCCGACUUCGUCGCCACCUGGAGACGGCUGGCCGCGGCCGCCCGCCGCGGGCCGGGGAGUCCUGUAUAUGGAAACUCACAUGAGUCAGUUCAGUCUAGAAGGGUAGUGAUUUCUCACAAUAUGGACAAAGCUCUAAAAGAAGUGUUUGACUACAGUUACAGAGAUUACAUUCUGUCCUGGUAUGGAAAUCUCAGCAGAGACGAGGGGCAGCUUUACCAUCUGCUCUUGGAAGACUUUUGGGAAAUUGCCAGGCAACUGCGCCACAGACUGAGCCACGUGGAUGUGGUUAAAGUCGUCUGCAAUGAUGUUGUAAGAACUUUACUCGCUCAUUUCUGUGACCUGAAAGCUGCAAAUGCCAGACAUGAAGAACAACCAAGGCCUUUUGUGCUGCAUGUGUCCCUGAGGAACUCGUAUGAUGAAGUGAGGUUCCUACAGAUGUGUUCUAGGGUUCUGGUGUUUUGUCUCCUCCCCUCAAAGGAUGUCCAGUCUCUCAGCUUACGUAUAAUGCUUGCAGAAAUUCUCACAACAAAAGUCUUGAAGCCGGUAGUGGAGUUACUUAGUAAUCCAGAUUACAUCAACCAGAUGCUGCUUGCCCAGCUGGAGCGCAGAGAACAGAUGAAUGAACAUCACAAGAGAGCCUACACCUAUGCUCCUUCUUAUGAAGAGUUCAUCAAGCUUAUUAACGGCAACUCUGAUGUUGAAUUCUUGAAGCAACUAAGGUAUCAAAUUGUAGUGGAAAUAAUCCAAGCAACUACAAUUAGCAGCUUUCCCCAGCUGAAGAGGCACAAGGGUAAAGAAACUGCUGCAAUGAAAGCUGAUCUCCUAAGGGCCAGGAAUAUGAAAAGGUACAUUAACCAACUGACUGUGGCUAAGAAGCAGUGCGAGAAGAGAAUCCGAAUCCUGGGAGGCCCUGCCUAUGACCAGCAAGAGGAUGGGGCCUUGGAUGAGGGAGAAGGGCCUCAAAGCCAGAAGAUUCUUCAGUUUGAAGAUAUUUUGGCCAAUACGUUCUACCGAGAGCACUUUCGAAUGUACAUGGAAAGGAUGGACAAGAGAGCUCUGAUUAGUUUUUGGGAGUCAGUGGAAUAUCUGAAGAGUGCUAACAAGAAUGAAAUCCCGCAAUUAGUUGGUGAAAUUUACCAGAAUUUCUUUGUGGAAAGCAAAGAAAUACCUGUGGAAAAAUCACUCUACAAAGAAAUCCAGCAGUGUCUUGUAGGAAAUAAAGGUAUUGAAGUGUUCUGCAAAAUCCAGGGCGAUGUUUAUGAGACCCUAAAGGAUAGGUAUUACCCUUCAUUUAUUGUCAGUGACCUGUAUGAGAAAUUGACGAUAAAAGAGGAAGAAAAACAUGGCUCGCACUUGAUUUCCGGCAAGGAUGAAAUGGACCCAGGAGGUGAGGCUGGUGAGGAAGCUGUAGAUGAAGGCACCAGUCGGAUUAAUGAACAAGCCAGUUUUGCUGUAAACAAACUACGAGAACUAAAUGAGAAACUUGAAUAUAAAAGGCAAGCUCUAAAUUCUAUUCAAAAUGCACCAAAACCUGACAAGAAGAUUGUUUCCAAGUUGAAGGAGGAAAUAAUUCUAAUAGAGAAAGAACGCACGGACCUACAGCUGCACAUGGCAAGAACAGAUUGGUGGUGUGAGAACCUCGGAAUGUGGAAAGCCUCCAUCACCAGUGGAGAGGUUACAGAAGAGAAUGGUGAGCAAAUGCCCUGUUACUUUGUCAUGGUAAGCUUACAAGAAGUUGGCGGAGUUGAAACUAAGAACUGGACCGUCCCUAGAAGGCUCAGUGAGUUUCAGAAUUUACACCGGAAACUUAGUGAGUGUUUCCCUUCUUUAAAAAAAGUCCAGUUGCCUUCUCUUAGCAAGCUGCCUUUCAAAUCUAUAGAUCACAAGUUUAUGGAAAAGUCAAAGAAUCAAUUAAAUAAGUUUUUACAGAAUCUGCUUUCAGAUGAAAGACUGUGUCAGAGUGAAGCACUUUAUGCCUUUUUGAGCCCUUCUCCUGACUACCUCAAGGUUAUUGAUGUGCAGGGGAAAAAAUCCACUUUUUCAUUAUCCUCAUUUUUGGAAAGACUUCCUCGCGACUUCUUCUCACAUCAAGAGGAGGAGACAGAGGAGGACAGUGACCUGUCAGAUUAUGGUGAUGAUGUGGAUGGGAGGAAAGAUGCCUUGGCUGAGCCAUGUUUCAUGUUGAUUGGGGAGAUCUUUGAACUUCGAGGAAUGUUUAAAUGGGUGAGAAGAACAUUAAUUGCUCUCGUUCAGGUCACUUUUGGAAGAACCAUCAACAAACAAAUCCGGGACACCGUGAACUGGAUUUUCAGUGAGCAAAUGUUGGUUUACUACAUCAACGUUUUCCGGGAUGCUUUUUGGCCACAUGGGAAAUUGGCGCCUCCAACCACAAUCAGAAGCGAAGAACAAAGUCAGGAAACAAAACAGAGAGCACAGCAGAAGCUGCUUGAGAACAUUCCAGAUACGCUUCAGAGCCUCGUUGGACAGCAGAAUGCCCGGCAUGGUAUAAUAAAAAUCUUCAACGCACUGCAGGAAACAAGAGCCAAUAAGCAUCUGUUAUAUGUGCUGAUGGAGUUGCUGCUAAUUGAGCUGUGUCCUGAGCUGAGAAGUCACUUAGAUCAGCUGAAAGCUGGCCAAGUCUGAGACCGCACAAACCAAGCACCAGAGAAAUCCCCCAGGAACAUUGAAAGCAAAAUAAUGGGCAAAAAUUCAGUUUGAAAUCCAUGAAAGAAAACUACUGUAUCUAUACUCAAGUGGUACUGAUUGUGGCAUUACUAGAUCAUACCUGCCAAGUUCUCGAUAUGAAACACAAGUUCUAAAAGGGAUGUAGAAAAGACACAUUCAGAUAAGAGAAGCAAAUGAAAUCACCGAGCCUCAGGAUGUCAUCGUAACACAGUUACUGAUGAAUGACCUAGAAGCCUCAACUCAACGUGAGUUAAAGAGUGAGACUCCACUCACAGGUCAAGGUGUGUGCCACGGUCUGCAGCAGUGGUAGUUUGCAAGGGCUCGUCUGUGCCAGAAGUACCCCCUUUAUGAGUGGCAAAAUGAAGUACAAGUAACAUAGACAAAGCGGAACAUGAGACAAGAGCAAGUACUUUUCUACCAUACAUACUUCUUUAGUGCCUGAUGCCUACGGAUUAAUUGUACUAAGAUGAGAUCCUGUUUAAACCCACUUUCGGAAAGGAUGGUAGUGAUUUAUAAAAUAAAGCCACAUCAGUGUAUGCUUACAGGAAGGUGUUGAUAAGGUAUCUUUAAGACGUUGUUUUCAGUGUAUCUGUUUCAGACAUGUAUUGCUACACAGUCUUCUCCAUGUGGAUCCUAUUAUUUGUAUUAUCAACUUUUAUCUUUAUGGACCUCAUUAAUGCAAGGAAAGCCUAAUUAAAAAUUUUAACAUAUUUAGAUUCAGUUCUUAUAUUGAGAGAUGAUUUGAAUUUUUUUUCACAUUUUACUUUGCUUUGAAAUGAAUCGUAAGGUUUUUUUAAUCUAGCAGAUGAGUCUAAGCACAAAGAAACAUCUCUCUUAACUGAUUAUCUUAUCGGGAAUAUAGCAGUUGUCUUAUUCAUUAAGAUCUUUAAGGGAAGAUUCUAAGCAGUUUCUUAAACCUACUUUUUUUGAAGUUUAUAAUAAAUUAGCCAACUAUUUAAAAGAAUUUCUUUUAAGAAGACAAGAUGUCCCAAAAGACUUAGUACAGUCUUAGCUUUAAUUGCUUUGGAAGUAUAAAUGCUACACAAUUAAAGAACAUUAUUUGAAAGUUUCUUUAAAUUCUUUUUAAUAGUUUUAUGAAUCUUAAAGAUUUUUUAACGUUUAUUUGUGAGAGAGAGAGAGAGAGAGAGAGCGCAUGCAAGCAGGGGAGGGUCAGAGAGAGAGGGAGACACAAUCUGAAGCAGGCUCCAGGCUCUGAGCUGUCAGCACAGAGCUUGAUGCGGGGCUCAAACUCACAAACCGCGAGAUCAUGACCUGAGCUGAAGUCAGAUGCUUAACUGACUGAGCCACCCAGGUGCCCCUUAAAUUUAAAAAUUUUUAAUGGAAAACAACAAAUUAAAAUUAAUAAUCCAAAAUUCACAAAACUAAGUGAGGGUCAAAGAAAUUUUAAAGAGUUAAGCUUUCAGUGUUUUUUUUAUAAGUUUGUAGCAUUUAUACUUUUGAAGUUAUUAAAGCUAAGACUGCACUAAGUCUUUUAGACACUCUGUAUUAAAAAAAAAAGAUAAUUUUCUUUAGGGAGUGUUUUUCUCUAUUUGAUAUGAUCUAGGCCAGUCUGUAGGCAAAGAGCUGGAUCUUUAAGGACUCAUUUAGCAAUUAGAUCCUAUACCUAAGGUUUUGAGUUAUAAAAUUACAGAUGUAAGAACAAAGGUAACAUGUCAUCAGAAUACCCAGGAUAUUGUAACUUGGGAUGCAGAAAAUAACCAAACAGCGUAGCGACUAUAAAAACACACACCGUUCU